GGCCAUACCAUGGUGAAUAUACCGGUUCUCGUUAGAUCACCGAAGUCAAGCAUCAUUGGGCACGGUCAGUACUUGGGUGGGUGACCACCUGGGAAUACCGCGAGCCGUU
This 109-nucleotide ribosomal RNA is filed under the name Caerostris extrusa. The record is from RNAcentral. Lineage: Eukaryota; Metazoa; Arthropoda; Arachnida; Araneae; Araneidae.